RNAcentral lists this ribosomal RNA (491 nucleotides) under uncultured bacterium. RNAcentral describes it as "partial 16S ribosomal RNA". It matches the Rfam family "Bacterial small subunit ribosomal RNA", at positions 28 to 507 of the family's 1533-position model. The record is from RNAcentral.
GAUGAACGCUAGCUACAGGCUUAACACAUGCAAGUCGAGGGGAAACGAUGAGAGAGCUUGCUCUCUUAGUCGUCGACCGGCGCACGGGUGAGUAACGCGUAUCCAACCUGCCUCUGACCAAGGGAUAACCCGUCGAAAGUCGGACUAAUACCUUAUGCAGUCGUCGGAAGUCAUCUGAUGACGACGAAAGAUUUCAUCGGUGAGAGAUGGGGAUGCGUCUGAUUAGCUUGUUGGCGGGGUAACGGCCCACCAAGGCGACGAUCAGUAGGGGUUCUGAGAGGAAGGGUCCCCACAUUGGAACUGAGACACGGUCCAAACUCCUACGGGAGGCAGCAGUGAGGAAUAUUGGUCAAUGGGCGUAAGCCUGAACCAGCCAAGUAGCGUGCAGGAUGACGGCCCUAUGGGUUGUAAACUGCUUUUAUGCGGGGAUAAAGUGAGGGACGUGUCCUUCAUUGCAGGUACCGCAUGAAUAAGGACCGGCUAAUUCCGUG